Molecule: long non-coding RNA, 756 nt
Organism: Phascolarctos cinereus (koala)
Lineage: Eukaryota; Metazoa; Chordata; Mammalia; Diprotodontia; Phascolarctidae
Source: RefSeq, a predicted model, not a curated record
UUGCUUUACGCCACCCAGAAGAUGGUUCUGUGAUGAUUCAAGCAAUGGAUGAAGUCUUUCAGAAACAUGGCAAGAAGUUGCAUAUUGUGGAUUUUUUUACUCAAGUGAACAACAGAGUGGUGCACACAGACUUUUACAUGGAUGAGGAUCCUGUCAAAGUGGUGCCGGUCAUGGAGUCCACUCUCACCAAAGCUGUGUACUUUUGACGCUUGGUGGAGGCAGAGGUGGAGGAGGUGGAAGAUUUUCAGUACAGAAUAAUUUGUUUAUGCAUUAGCACUGUGCUUUACAUUGUAUCAAAUACUGGCUCUUAUGUAUGUUGGAUGUAAUGUGUUGUGAAGGUUUCAUCAGAAACUGCAGCACAAAGCAGUCAGUCUUAUAUCCUGACACUCUGGACAAUCCCUGCACUUGUCAUUACUAAGUGAACUGAAGCAGGUGCUGCACUCCUGUUCCCACCACACUGACUCUGGUUCUGUACCCUGCUAAAUGCUCACAAGCCUCAAAGACCCUGCAAAGUUAGAGACUGUUCCCACAGGACCCAAGAACUCCUGUGUUGUGCUAAAGACACCCGUACAUGUCACCCUGCUGUGGGAACUGUUUACUCAACACCGAAGAAGGAUUGUGUUGGGUCCUGCCUUUUUGUGGGUUUCAUGCUUAACAACCCUCACCCUGCCACAAAUCACAAGCUGUCUUCAGCAGGACAUUGAUUUGCAAACCUGUUUUCCUCACUCUGAAAAUAAACUUUUGUUUGAUUCCUGA